RNAcentral lists this unclassified non-coding RNA (87 nucleotides) under Pseudomonas migulae. The record is from RNAcentral. Lineage: Bacteria; Pseudomonadati; Pseudomonadota; Gammaproteobacteria; Pseudomonadales; Pseudomonadaceae.
UGUAGGAGCCGGCUUGCUGGCGAUGCAGGCGCCGCGGUCUGUCAGACCAACUGCGGCGAUGCCAUCGCCAGCAAGCCGGCUCCUACA